UACGGAAGGUGCGAGCGUUAAUCGGAAUUACUGGGCGUAAAGCGCGCGUAGGCGGCUUGGUAAGUCGGGCGUGAAAGCCCCGGGCUCAACCUGGGAAUUGCGUUCGAUACUGCCGAGCUGGAGUACGAGAGAGGGGGGUGGAAUUCCAGGUGUAGCGGUGAAAUGCGUAGAGAUCUGGAGGAACAUCAGUGGCGAAGGCGGCCCCCUGGUUCGAUACUGACGCUGAGGUGCGAAAGCGUGGGGAGCAAACAGG
Molecule: ribosomal RNA, 253 nt
Filed under: uncultured bacterium
Lineage: Bacteria
Description: partial 16S ribosomal RNA
Rfam family: Bacterial small subunit ribosomal RNA
Source: RNAcentral